GUUGGAUUUGUGGUGUGUCCAGUUGGCCUUUGCUCUUUGAGUGAUAGUGCUUUACUGGUCUGCCAUGUUUGGGUGGAAUCUGUGUGGCAUUAAGUUGUCGUGCAGGGGAUGCCCAUCGUUUACUGUGAAAAAAUUAGAGUGUUCAAAGCAGGCUUAUGCCUCUGAAUAUAUUAGCAUGGAAUAAUGAUAUAGGACCUUGGUACUAUUUUGUUGGUUUGCGCACUGAGGUAAUGAUUAAGAGGGACAGUUGGGGGUAUUUGUAUUCCAUUGUCAGAGGUGAAAUUCUUGGAUUUUUGGAAGACAAACUACUGCGAAAGCAUUUACCAAGGAUGUUUUCAUUAAUCAAGAACGAAAGUUAGGGGAUCGAAGAUGAUUAGAUACCAUCGUAGUCUUAACCAUAAACUAUGCCGACAAGGGAUUGGUGGAGUUUCGUUUCGUCUCCAUCAGCACCUUGUGAGAAAUCAUAAGUCUUUGGGUUCCGGGGGGAGUAUGGU
This 494-nucleotide ribosomal RNA is filed under the name Fragilariopsis sp. RCC5370. RNAcentral describes it as "SSU rRNA". It matches the Rfam family "Eukaryotic small subunit ribosomal RNA", at positions 633 to 1129 of the family's 1831-position model. The record is from RNAcentral. Lineage: Eukaryota; Bacillariophyta; Bacillariophyceae; Bacillariales; Bacillariaceae.